AUUGAACGCUGGCGGCAGGCCUAACACAUGCAAGUCGAGCGAGCGGCGGACGGGUGAGUAAUGUAUGGGGACUGCCCGAUAGAGGGGGAUAACUACUGGAAACGGUAGCUAAUACCGCAUACUAUCGGAUAACCCAUAUGGGAUUAGCUAGUAGGUGAGGUAAUGGCUCACCUAGGCGACGAUCCCUAGCUGGUCUGAGAGGAUGAUCAGCCAAACGGGGCAUAAGACACGGCCCAGCCCCCAACGGAGGCAGCAGUGGGGAAUAUGGCACAAUGGGCGAAAGCCUGAUGCAGCCAUGCCGCGUGUAUGAAGAAGGCCCUAGGGUUGUAAAGUACUUUCAGUCGGGAGGCGUUACCGACAGAAGAAGCACCGGCUAACUCCGUGCCAGCCGCCGCGGUAAUA
This 402-nucleotide ribosomal RNA is filed under the name uncultured bacterium. Its description in RNAcentral is "partial 16S ribosomal RNA". It matches the Rfam family "Bacterial small subunit ribosomal RNA", at positions 30 to 525 of the family's 1533-position model. The record is from RNAcentral.